GUUUACAUAAGAAUAUGGGAUAAAUAGAUAAAUAAAAAACAAACAAAAUACAUAAUAAACAAAAUGCAUUUCGUUUAUUAUAGAACACCAAUGAUUUCCAAUAAAAUAAGAAAUGAGAAGCAAAGAAGAACCGAAGAUCAGAGAUCUGGGGUAUACAAGAUUCCAGCAAAGAUGUCAGAUUCCCAGCAAAGCACCGCCUAUAUAGGGGUCAUCACCAAAACAUUGAAGGAAAGGAUCAAUGAGCACAAGAAAGAGUGCUGCCAGGAACCUCAAUACGGCUCUGGCUGUAGAGGUGUACAGUAAGGACAUACAAAUAGAAUGGAAGGAAGUGAAAAUAAUAAAACCUUUGGCGAAGAAAUCUCAGGCCCUAAUAACCGAGGCUCUAGAAAU
Molecule: long non-coding RNA, 390 nt
Filed under: Androctonus crassicauda
Lineage: Eukaryota; Metazoa; Arthropoda; Arachnida; Scorpiones; Buthidae
Source: RNAcentral